This is a ribosomal RNA of Anolis carolinensis (green anole), 119 nucleotides long. The record is from Ensembl. NCBI's taxonomy places the organism in Eukaryota, Metazoa, Chordata, Lepidosauria, Squamata, Anolidae.
GACCAGGGCCAUACUACCCUGAACACACCUUAUUUCGUCUGAUCUUUGAAGCUAAGUAGUGUCAGGUCUGGAUAGUACUUGGAUGGGAGACUGCCUGGGAAUACCAGGUACUGUAGGCU